GGGGGGGAGGGGGUUUCCAACUCAAAAGCUGAAAGAAUAUACAGGUUGGCGUUUGCUUAAACAGCCUAAAGACAAACUCAAACUGUGAUUGCCUUGCUUGGAAGGAAAGGAUACACUUUACUGCUUAACAUAUCUAAUCUAUUAAGUUAAGACCAUAGUUUUGAAACCUAAACCGACCCGAUCGAUUUAAUCUGAAAGUAAAAAAAUGGGGCCUAUAAUCAAUUGGAAUUAUCUUUAAAAAUAAAAAAUGAUAAAAUUUGGUCAUACUCAUCGAACUUAAAGAAAUCAACUUGAUCACGGUUNNNNNACUGGGUUUUAAAUUUUUUUUUUUUUUACAAAACGACGUCGUGUUAUACAUGCACGUAACUUUGCACUCUGACUUUCACCAUUAGAUUUUCCAUGCAUUCAACCCUGAUAUAAAAUGCAUUCAAUGCUAGAGACCCUUGUUGUCUACAAAUUUGCUUUUGCUACCAACUAGUUUUGAGACAAAAAUGACCUCAUCAUAACAAUGUCCUAAUUACCAAAACACCCCUCCUCAAUUACCCAAAAAUAUAGAGGGCAAUCUAGGUAAUUAACUUGAUCCAAACCACUCCCGCUUUCGUAGCCAACCGUCAAUCGACACGGAUACCUCAUGAAACGUUCCG
Molecule: unclassified non-coding RNA, 644 nt
Filed under: Hevea brasiliensis (rubber tree)
Lineage: Eukaryota; Viridiplantae; Streptophyta; Magnoliopsida; Malpighiales; Euphorbiaceae
Source: RNAcentral